GUUUGGUAACCUGCAAGGAUACGGUUACGACCCGUAGUUAAAGUUUUAUUAACUUACUAUUCU
Molecule: transfer RNA, 63 nt
Filed under: Girardia tigrina
Lineage: Eukaryota; Metazoa; Platyhelminthes; Tricladida; Dugesiidae
Also listed under: 1 other name
Description: tRNA-Arg
Source: RNAcentral